GUGCCCGUGGCUCAAUGGAUAAAGCACGAGAUUCCGGAUCUCGGGAUUGGAGGUUCGAAUCCUCUCGGGCACGCCA
This 76-nucleotide transfer RNA is filed under the name Candidatus Daviesbacteria bacterium RIFCSPHIGHO2_01_FULL_40_11. RNAcentral's name for it is "tRNA-Arg". It matches the Rfam family "tRNA". Rfam says of the family: Transfer RNA (tRNA) molecules are approximately 80 nucleotides in length. Their secondary structure includes four short double-helical elements and three loops (D, anti-codon, and T loops). Further hydrogen bonds mediate the characteristic L-shaped molecular structure. tRNAs have two regions of fundamental functional importance: the anti-codon, which is responsible for specific mRNA codon recognition, and the 3' end, to which the tRNAs corresponding amino acid is attached (by aminoacyl-tRNA synthetases). tRNAs cope with the degeneracy of the genetic code in two manners: having more than one tRNA (with a specific anti-codon) for a particular amino acid; and 'wobble' base-pairing, i.e. permitting non-standard base-pairing at the 3rd anti-codon position. RNAcentral also lists the same sequence under 1 other name. Lineage: Bacteria; Candidatus Daviesiibacteriota. The record is from RNAcentral.